GUGUCAGCCGCCGCGGUAAUACAGAGGUCCCAAGCGUUGUUCGGAUUCACUGGGCGUAAAGGGUGCGUAGGUGGCGAGGUAAGUCGGAUGUGAAAGCUCGGGGCUUAACCCCGAAAUGGCAUUGGAAACUACCUGGCUUGAGGGUUGGAGGGGGGACUGGAAUUCUCGGUGUAGCAGUGAAAUGCGUAGAUAUCGAGAGGAACACCAGUGGCGAAGGCGAGUCCCUGGACAACACCUGACACUGAGGCACGAAAGCUAGGGGAGCAAACAGGAUUAGAUACCCGCGUAGUCC
This 292-nucleotide ribosomal RNA is filed under the name uncultured bacterium. RNAcentral's name for it is "partial 16S ribosomal RNA". It matches the Rfam family "Bacterial small subunit ribosomal RNA", at positions 505 to 796 of the family's 1533-position model. The record is from RNAcentral.